AACACGCACCAUAAACUUAGGCACUGAAGAAGUAAAAAGGGAACUUAAGAUAGUGGAGAGUGAGGAGUUGGGAGAUAUGAUCGGUCUGCUUAAGGAAUUUCUCGACGUAUUUUCAUGGAGCUAUGAUGAUAUGGUCGGUUUGGACCCUCAGAUAGUGACGCACAAGAUUCCCUUAAUCCCAGGAACGAUUCCGGUAAAGCAGAAACUAAGGAGGAUGAAUCCCGACACACUGCUUAAGGUUCGGGAUGAAGUCAAGAAA
RNAcentral lists this unclassified non-coding RNA (259 nucleotides) under Hevea brasiliensis (rubber tree). Lineage: Eukaryota; Viridiplantae; Streptophyta; Magnoliopsida; Malpighiales; Euphorbiaceae. The record is from RNAcentral.